This 2978-nucleotide ribosomal RNA is filed under the name Thiospirochaeta perfilievii. RNAcentral describes it as "Spirochaeta perfilievii 23S ribosomal RNA". It matches the Rfam family "Bacterial large subunit ribosomal RNA". The record is from RNAcentral. Lineage: Bacteria; Pseudomonadati; Spirochaetota; Spirochaetia; Spirochaetales; Spirochaetaceae.
AUAUAUGGUCAAGCGAAUAAGGAUCCAUGGUGGAUGCCUUGGAGCUAUCCGACGAUGAAGGCCGUGGUAAGCUGCGAAAAGCUGGGUUAAGGAGCAAACAUCCUUUGACGCCCAGAUUGCCGAAUGGGGUAACCCAAUAGACUGGAUGUCUAUUACCUUUACAUGAAUAAAAUAGUGUAUUGGAGUGAGACUCAGGGAACUGAACCAUCUAAGUACCUGAAGGAAAAGAAAUCAAACGAGAUUCCCUUAGUAGCGGCGAGCGGACGGGGAAUAGCCCAAACCUUUACUGUGUAAUAUCUGCACGGAGUUGCAGUAGGGGUGUUGUAGGAUGUACUGUUUUGUAUUGUGUGAUGCGAACUGCAGUAAGAAACUAUAUUAGUAGCAGAAAUUAGCUGGAAAGCUAGUACCAGAGUGGGUGAUAGUCCCGUAAGCGAAACUAAUAUAGCUGUAGAGUAUAUUCCUGAGUACAGCGGGACACGAGAAAUCCUGCUGGAAUCUGGGGGGACCACCCUCCAAGGCUAAAUACGAGAUAGCUACCGAUAGUGAACGAGUACCGUAAGGGAAGUGGUGAAAAGCACCCCGGGAGGGGAGUGAAAUAGACCUGAAACCGUGGAUUUACAAGUGGUCAAAGCGUCCUUGAGACGUGAUGGCGUGCCUUUUGUAGAAUGAGCCUGCGAGUUACGUUAAUAUGCAAGGUUAAGGUAUAGAAGUACCGGAGCCGGAGGGAAACCGAGUCUUAAUAGGGCGCCAAGUAUGUUGCCGUAGACCCGAAGCCGAGUGAUCUAUUUAUGAGCAGGUUGAAGCUUGAGUAAAAUCAAGUGGAGGACCGAACACUAGUCUGUUGAAAAAGGCAGUGAUGACUUGUGAAUAGGGGUGAAAGGCCAAUCAAACUCGGAGAUAGCUGGUUCUCGUCGAAAUGGUUUUAGGAUCAGCGUGAUAUGAUUUUUGUCGGAGGUAAAGCACUGAUUAGGCUAGGGCCCUUCACCGGGUACCAAACUUAUUCAAACUCUGAAUACCGAUAAACAAAAUAUUGCAGUGAGACUGUGGGUGAUAAGAUCCAUGGUCAAGAGGGAAAGAGCCCAGACCGUCAGCUAAGGUCCCUAAACUAUGCUAAGUGGAGAAGGAAGUUCGAUUGCAAAGACAGCCAGGAGGUUGGCUUAGAAGCAGCCACUCCUUGAAAGAGUGCGUAAUAGCUCACUGGUCGAGUAGUCGAGCGCCUAAAAUGUAACGGGGCUAAGCAUAGUACCGAAGCUACGGAUUCGUAUUAAUACGGAUGGUAGACGAGAGUUGUGUAGGCUGUUGAAGGUGAUCUGGAAGGAUUGCUGGAGGUAUCACAAGUUAGAAUGCAGGCAUGAGUAACGAAAAGGAAGGUGAGAUCCCUUCCCGCCGAAAGCCUAAGGGUUCCUGGGUAAAGGUUUUCUUCCCAGGGUGAGUCGGCCCCUAAGACGAGGCUGAAGAGCGUAGUCGAUGGGAAACUGGUUAAUAUUCCAGUACUUCUGUUAAUUUCGAUGGGAUGACGCAUAAGGAGAUUCUAUGCCGGAGAAUGGUAGUUCCGGUCCAAGCAACAAGCUUUUGAGAGAUGUAGGCAAAUCCGCAUUUUGAGGUGAGUUGUUAAGGGUACUAAACCUACGGGUGCAGGAAGAUAGAGGAUUCAUCGUGCCAGGAAAUAAUCUCUAAGGUUCGAUUAACAGGAACCGUACCGCAAACCGACACAGGUAGGCGAGCUGAGUAUGCUAAGGCGUACGGGAUAACUCGGGUUAAGGAACUCGGCAAAUUACAUACGUAACUUAGGGAGAAGUAUGGCCUACUCCGCGAGGAGAGGUUGCAAAAAAGAGGUCCAAUCGACUGUUUACCAAAAACACAGGUCUCUGCGAAAUCGUAAGAUGAAGUAUAGGGACUGACACCUGCCCGGUGCCGGAAGGUUAAGAGGAGUUGUUAGAUUUAUCGAAGCAGCGAAUUGAAGCCCCGGUAAACGGCGGCCGUAACUAUAACGGUCCUAAGGUAGCGAAAUUCCUUGUCGGGUAAGUUCCGACCCGCACGAAUGGUGUAACGAAUUGGACGCUGUCUCAACCCGAGACCCGGUGAAAUUAAAGUAUCGGUGAAGAUGCCGAUUACAUGUGGUUAGACGGAAAGACCCCGUGAACCUUUACUGCAGCCUGAUAUUGAAAUCUGGUUAAACAUGUGUAGGAUAGGUGGGAGACUAUGACCCCUGAUCGUUAGGUUGGGGUGAGUCGUUGGUGAAAUACCACCCUUGUUUAAUUAGUUUUCUAACAGAAGCCGUUAUCCGGUUUUUGGACAAUGUCUGGUGGGCAGUUUGACUGGGGCGGUCGCCUCCUAAAGAGUAACGGAGGCGCGCAAAGGUUACCUUGAUCUGGUUGGAAAUCAGAUUGUAAGUGCAAAGGCAGAAGGUAGCUUGACUGCGAGACUUACAAGUCGAGCAGGUACGAAAGUAGGUCUUAGUGAUCUGGCGGUCCCGAGUGGAAGGGCCGUCACUUAACGGAUAAAAGGUACUCCGGGGAUAACAGGCUUAUUUUGCCCAAGAGUUCAUAUCGACGGCAAAGUUUGGCACCUCGAUGUCGGCUCAUCGCAUCCUGGGGCUGAAGCAGGUCCCAAGGGUUUGGCUGUUCGCCAAUUAAAGCGGUACGUGAGCUGGGUUCAGAACGUCGCGAGACAGUUCGGUCCCUAUCUGCCACAUGCGUUGAAUGUUUGAGAGGAUCUAUUUUUAGUACGAGAGGACCGAAAUGGACGAACCUCUGGUGUAUCUGUUAUCGUGCCAACGGUAAUUGCAGAGUAGCUAAGUUCGGGAGGGAUAACCGCUGAAAGCAUCUAAGUGGGAAGCCCGCCUCAAGAUGAGACAUUCCUGAGAGUUUAACUCUCCUAAAGGGACCAGAGAGAUGAUCUGGUUGAUAGGCCUCAAGUGUAAGUGCAGUAAUGUAUUUAGCUGAGAGGUACUAAUCUCCCGUGAGGCUUGACCAUAU